This 499-nucleotide ribosomal RNA is filed under the name fungal sp. TRN439. RNAcentral describes it as "SSU rRNA". It matches the Rfam family "Eukaryotic small subunit ribosomal RNA", at positions 57 to 560 of the family's 1831-position model. The record is from RNAcentral. Lineage: Eukaryota; Fungi.
GUCUAAGUAUAAGCAACUAUACGGUGAAACUGCGAAUGGCUCAUUAAAUCAGUUAUCGUUUAUUUGAUAGUACCUUACUACAUGGAUAACCGUGGUAAUUCUAGAGCUAAUACAUGCUAAAAACCUCGACUUCGGAAGGGGUGUAUUUAUUAGAUAAAAAACCAAUGCCCUUCGGGGCUCCUUGGUGAAUCAUAAUAACUUAACGAAUCGCAUGGCCUUGCGCCGGCGAUGGUUCAUUCAAAUUUCUGCCCUAUCAACUUUCGAUGGUAGGAUAGUGGCCUACCAUGGUAUCAACGGGUAACGGGGAAUUAGGGUUCGACUCCGGAGAGGGAGCCUGAGAAACGGCUACCACAUCCAAGGAAGGCAGCAGGCGCGCAAAUUACCCAAUCCCGACACGGGGAGGUAGUGACAAUAAAUACUGAUACAGGGCUCUUUUGGGUCUUGUAAUUGGAAUGAGUACAAUUUAAAUCCCUUAACGAGGAACAAUUGGAGGGCAAGU